Molecule: ribosomal RNA, 491 nt
Filed under: uncultured bacterium
Lineage: Bacteria
Description: bacterial SSU rRNA
Rfam family: Bacterial small subunit ribosomal RNA
Source: RNAcentral
AAUGAACGCUGGCGGCGUGCCUAACACAUGCAAGUCGGAUGUGCCGCAAGGUGCAUGGCAGACGGGUGAGUAACGCGUGGGGAAUCUACCUCUUUGUGGGGAAUAACGCUCCGAAAGGAGUGGUAAUACCGCAUGAGACCGUGGACUGGGAUGUCUACGGUGAAACCUGGGGACCGUAAGGCCUGGGGCAAGGAGAGGAUCCUGCGUCUGAUUAGCUAGUUGGCGGGGUAAUGGCCCACCAAGGCAUCGAUCAGUAGCCGGCCUGAGAGGGUGAUCGGCCACACUGGAACUGAGACACGGUCCAGACUCCUACGGGAGGCAGCAGUGGGGAAUUUUGCGCAAUGGGCGAAAGCCUGACGCAGCAACGCCGCGUGGGUGAUGAAGGUCUUCGGACUGUAAAACCCUGUCGUCAGGGACGAAGAUGUACGUGUUAAUAGCGCGUGCAUUUGACGGUACCUGGAGAGGAAGCCCCGGCUAACUCUGUGCCAGCA